AUAUAGCUACACACAUGCAGCUCCACAGAAAAAGAUUAUCAUGUCUGACAAAGAUUCCAAUAUUAGAUCUACUCAACAAGAUGAAUCCCAAGAUGAGACUCAGAGCUACCCAAUGGAGAGAUUGACCUCUGAAGCUCCUCCGCCUUACUCCGAGGUGGUGGGCCAUAGUCGAACAGUUAAUAAUGAUCCUGCUUCUGAGAGAAAUGAACAAGCACCUCCAUACCAACCCCCUGCAGUGCAACAAGAGAUAUCUUUACCUCCAGUGCGACUGGUGAGCAACAAUCCUACUCCACUGACAAGGGUUGUUGUAACUCCUCCACAACCAUCUGCUCCUAUCAGAUUCACAGUUCCAGCAGGACUACACACAGCUACUACACGAUUAUCACAAAACCAAGUACGAGAUCAAGUGAAAAAUAAACUGUGCUGUGUAGUAUUCUGCUCAGUAUUACUCUUCUUUUUGGCUACACCGCUCUCACUGUUAAUCACUCUGCCAAGCCUCUACUGUGUUUGUAAGGCAAAGUAUGAUGUGGAACUUGGGAAGUUGUCCAAAGCAGAUGAGGAAUCAACAUCUGGUUGUGUUGUGAUUUCAAUCACUGUAAUUCUCACCUUAAUUUUCCUGUCAGCAGCAAUGUUACCAAUUUUAUUCAUUUUUGCAUAGAUAUUCGAAUAUCUAUGGUUUUUGGCAUGCUAGUUUUAUUGCUCACCACCUCAUUAUGACAUGCGCAGCAACAUCAUGUCAUGUUCAUGUUUCUGAUGUGCACGUGCAUGUAUAAUAAUUAAAAGUUAUUUACUGCACUCUGAGUUAAUUAAACUGAUUGCUUUUCGUUUUUGCUGACUCAGCAGUAGAACAUGUAGGCGGAUCUAGCUAGUAUGGGUAUUAUGUGCUGAUAGGGUUAGGUCCAGUAAUCAUCACAGACACCAAACACAACUAGUUGUCAAUAAAUCAGCGACAGAAACUGUGCAUAAAUAUUGUCUCAUGAAUUAGUCGCCCUCUAUAACAUAGCACUUGUGAUUAGGCCGCCCAACUUUUAGAGGGCGGCUAAAAUAGAGACUAACAGAAGUAGUAGACUAUACUGCUGAGUCAACAAAAACGAAAAGCAAUUUGGCCUGGAAUGUCAUUAAAAGGUAGUGAAAGUUCAAGUGAUGUCCGACCUCCUCUGCUUUACCCCCCUCCGAAGCAGAACCUUCACAGGAUGUGCAUGCUUUUGAUAUAAAGUAUACAUAUGUACAUAGAACCUUCAUGUUUCUCCUACUGCACAAUCAACUAGUGAAUGAAUGGCUGACCACACUACCUAUUCUCUAGACCCAAUGGAGAGGUUGACAAAUGCGGCUCCCCCAACCUACUCUCAAGUGGUGGAGAAUGCUCCUCCGCCAUAUCAACCAACCAGUGCUGUAAUAUUACCUGAGGUUAAAAAUUUACCGAUUGCCCCUCAAACAUCAGCCCCUGUGCCGGUGGUAAUCCCUGUCAAUAGAAUUCCACUGACAAAUGAACAGCGAGAAGAUUCUGGAAUAUCAACUGUUGGGCUUCUUGUGUUUCUGAUGGCAUUCAUCAUGUCCCUCAUUGGAACUCCUCUAGUGUUGUUUGCCUUCUUACCAAGUAUAUACUGCAUCUGUAAGGCAAAAAGAGAACUCGAUCAGGGGAAAGUAACAGAAGCAGAGGAACACUCCUCCAAGGCCUGCAAAUUGGUCAUAUUAGGAAUUGUAAUCGGUUUUGCUCUUCUUAUAACUAUAAUAUCUCUUGCCAUCUCAUUAGCUAUCGAACUCGAUCAGUGACUAAACUUAAUUAAUACCUCAUGCAGUUUUAUAAGCCUUUAUAAUUAUGUGCAUUUUAUGUUGCUAUGAAUACACAGUGUUCAAGUUCAUGCUAAUUGCUCAGUCAGUUUAUACCGUUAGUAUACAUAGAAACAGCGAUAUACGGACCAAUGCAUGCUUUAGAUUUUGCUUAUACACACACGAUGACUAUAACAUCAGGUCAUGCAUAUACAGAAGUUCACUAUAGACCUAAAUCUACAGUUGUACUAGUGUGUAUCCUUCCUGCAAAGAUUUUAUGCUAAGGUCAAAGGAAGUGAUCUAUAUAAUCAAACCUCUCAAAUGCAUGGUAGAUCUAUACAUAAUAAUUAUGGCAUAGAUCUAUAUAUAUCAGAUCUAUAGCUAAAAACUGACCAUUAAUUAAAUCUACAAGAGAAAUAAUGUCAGACAAAGAUACUGAAACUCAGAGUUACCCAAUGGAGAGGUUGACCUCUGAAGCUCCUCCACCUUACUCUGAGGUGGUGGGCCAUAGUCCAACAGUUAAUAAAGAUCCUGCUUCUGAGAGAAAUGAACAAGCACCUCCAUACCAACAUCCUGCACUGCAACAAUAUAUAUCUUUACCUCCAGUGCGACUGGUGAGCAACAAUCUUAUGCCACCACCAAGGCGUGUGAUUGUAACUCCUCCACCGACAAGAGUUGUGGUUGUAACUCCUCCACAACCAUCUGCUCCUACGACAGUUCCAAGAAGACGUCCCGAACUAUAUACACGUGGUGAUACACAAUUAUCACAAAACCAAGUACAAGAUCAAGUGAAUUUCAAACUAUGUUGUACAGUAUUCUGCUCAAUAUUACUCUUCUUUUUGGCUACACCGCUCUCACUGUUAGUCACCCUGCCAAGCCUCUACUGUGUUUGUAAGGCCAAGUAUGAUGUGAAACGUGGGAAGGUGUCCAAAGCACAUCAGGAAUCAGUAAUUGGUUGCAGAGUAAUUUCAAUCACUGUAGUUCUCACCAUUAUAGCUUUUGUAGUAAUACCAAUUGUAACUCUUAUUGUAAUUAGUUAACGUUGUAGAAUCUAUAACUGUUUAUAUACAGUGUAUUGCUCAUCACCUCAUAGAUACCAAGCUGUCAUUUUUUAUAUUCAUGCGGAA
This is a long non-coding RNA of Halichondria panicea, 2897 nucleotides long. RefSeq lists it as uncharacterized. The record is from RefSeq and is a predicted model, not a curated record. The transcript has 4 exons. NCBI's taxonomy places the organism in Eukaryota, Metazoa, Porifera, Demospongiae, Suberitida, Halichondriidae.